RNAcentral lists this ribosomal RNA (253 nucleotides) under uncultured bacterium. Its description in RNAcentral is "partial 16S ribosomal RNA". It matches the Rfam family "Bacterial small subunit ribosomal RNA", at positions 524 to 776 of the family's 1533-position model. The record is from RNAcentral.
UACAGAGGGUGCAAGCGUUGUUCGGAAUUAUUGGGCGUAAAGGGCGCGUAGGCGGCGUGACAAGUCACUUGUGAAAUCUCCGGGCUUAACUCGGAACGGUCAAGUGAUACUGUCGGACUAGAGUACAGAAGGGGCAACUGGAAUUCUCGGUGUAGCGGUGAAAUGCGUAGAUAUCGAGAGGAACACCUGCGGCGAAGGCGGGUUGCUGGGCUGAUACUGACGCUGAGGCGCGAAAGCCAGGGGAGCGAACGGG